This 1156-nucleotide long non-coding RNA is filed under the name Chloebia gouldiae (Gouldian finch). Its description in RNAcentral is "Erythrura gouldiae (Gouldian finch) lncRNA (ENSEGOG00005000333.1)". The record is from RNAcentral. Lineage: Eukaryota; Metazoa; Chordata; Aves; Passeriformes; Passeridae.
CGCCGCCGCCGCUGGUUUUGGUGCCGUUUGCCCCGGGGCGGCGGCAGCUCGGCUGUGGGGUCGGUGCUGCUGCGAGCCGCCGCGUCCCUCCCUUCCUGCCGGAGCUAAACGGGAAACGUGGGCGUUUUUUGCAUCUGUGAUCCGAAGGGCUUCGCCAAGCUCAUCUUCAUGUGGGCUCUGAAGAGAGGAGGCUGUGGAAGGGAGGGAGGGAGGACGGACAUAGCAGAGCCUGGAAAAACCGCGAAGUGGGAGUUUCGGCUUGGGAACGGAGCCCCGGACGGAAUGUGAGGAGGGGCGGUGUUAGCUGGAGCGUGUCCAUCUGAGAAGGCAGCUGUUCGUGCGUGUUAAAGUGUGAAACCCGGGGAGGAAGAAGCACAAAUCCAAAACAUAGCUCCUCACUGAGCCCCUGUGAAGAAAAUUUACUCUGGCCCAACCAAAACCAGCAAGACUGCCAGUCCUGAGUGUCCUUGAGGAGCCCAUGAUAUGUGGACAAAUGGAUUUCAGAUGUUUCUACCAGUUCUGUCUGUGAUGGUGGCAAUAUUUUUCUUCCUAGUUUUAGCUCCUGUAGCCUCGUCUCCAAACCUGCAACAUGUUUACACUUUCUUCUUUAUGCUGAGAAGUCUUAUUGUUUAUCUGCCUUUUAUACAUUUUAAAUUGCAUUUUGCAUUUCUUGAUAAAAUUACUAACUACUUAGAGCUCCUGCUAAAAAUCUCUCCUGCUGGUGGAUCUGCAGAGGGUAGAUGUGAAUAGUGUUUAAUCCCAGUAUAACUAAGAGCCAGCAGAGGAUUUUGUUGAACUGAGAGCAUAAAAGGUACAAGUUACAUGUGAUAUCCAUGUGUGCAUGUAUGUGUGAGUAUAUAUAUAGAUGAAUGUACAUGUAUUGCAUACCUUUAUAUGUGUAUAAAUAUAUAUUUAUAAAAGUAUAGGCAUUAGCAUAGGGAGUUAGUAUGUAUAUAUUUUUGUCUCUUUGUAUACAUACCUAUACAUAAAUGUAUAUGCAUGGCAAUUUAGUAAGUGCAGAGUCUCGUCUAAACUUAUAAAAUCUGAAAAAUGCUCUCUUGUCCUAAAGGCAGUUAAAAUAACAAAUAAGACUGGAUUACAACACAAGUAAUUAUCAGUAUUAUCAUAUAAUAAAUGAGUAAAUAAAUACUUAACA